GAGUCUACUGCUCGCGUUGCGUCUAUUAUGGAAAACACCAAUCUUUCCAAGCAACAGCAGGUUUCCGAGAUUAUGCGCCAAAUGCUUACUCAAGCUCAAACGGCUGGUCAGUAUUUUACCAAUGACCAAAUCAAAGAAAUGACUCGCAAGGUUAGUGCUGAGGUUGACUUAGUUCAUCAGCAAACGCAGAAUCAGCGGUAUGGCUCUUCUCAUAUUGGCGCUACUGCAAAGGAUAUUUCUAAUGUCGUCACUGAUGCUGCUUCUGGUGUGGUUGAUAUUUUUCAUGGUAUUGAUAAAGCUGUUGCCGAUACUUGGAACAAUUUCUGGAAAGACGGUAAAGCUGAUGGUAUUGGCUCUAAUUUGUCUA
This 367-nucleotide ribosomal RNA is filed under the name uncultured prokaryote. RNAcentral describes it as "partial 16S ribosomal RNA". The record is from RNAcentral.